AUAGGGUAGGUGAUUAAUCUCAUUUUAAAGGGGUAAUAUGUGAAUUUGAAACAUUGUUUAUAAUGCUUUCACCUUGGAGAACUGAUUUCCUGC
Small nucleolar RNA from Salvia miltiorrhiza (redroot sage), 93 nucleotides. The record is from RefSeq and is a predicted model, not a curated record. Lineage: Eukaryota; Viridiplantae; Streptophyta; Magnoliopsida; Lamiales; Lamiaceae.